AUGAAGGUGUCGUUGAACGAGGCAAAGACAUGAGCAACGCAGAACACUAAUUCUCCAUCCCGAGUGGCGGGUCCGAGGGUGACAUUCUCUUCUUUAGGCUCCCUAGUCUUUCUCCUAGACUGUAAAAACCAACAAGUCAUUUUGUAAAUCAGAAUCCAAAGGGAAUAAACUCCAAAGCUCGUGUCACUUUGAUAUUUACAUCAUUUUUCGCAAGGGCAUCUAGGGAGUGUUAAAAAGACCAGAAGCAAAAGAACCCAUCGAAAAUAGGAAAAGGAAACGGUUACAUUUGCACCGCAUUGAUAUAGCAAAAUACAGACGAAAACGUCAAAAAGAAAAUCAAGAUGCACACAAACCAAAUAAUUUCACUUGACAAUCACAAUAAUCGACACGAAGUACUGCUAAGAAUCCCCAUGUCGUUUUUACAAUUAAUAAAUCAGCACAAGUUACAAAUUACGAGUGCCGGCACAGCAAUUCACGCAGGAAGCGCAACAUAUGAAAAUUGAAUCCCAAACCCUAAUGAUUUAUGCUGAAGCAUCUACCUCAUGCUACGAUUUGCAUAGAAACAAGAAGGGGAGAAGACGAAUCAGAAAAAAUUGCAUCAAUCAGAGGAAGAUUUAGCCCUCCGGAGCGGUACCUUGAUAAAAAUCAAUAUUUUAAACACUGCCAAAUUACACAAUUAAGCAAAGAUUUAUAUGCAGACAUACAAAACAGAAAUUGAAGCACAUACCAUUGCUUGGGCUGCGAAUUCGAAGACGGCUGAGCUCUGCUAUUCGAGUGUGAUAAACCCUAAUUUAGAAAAGACGGGGCUUAUGAAAUGUGAAGAACGCUACUGUAGAGACUGUAUUAAGUCAUAAUUUUAUACUUUUGACACAUAAUUUUGUAUUGUAAAAUAUUAAAUACAACGACAAAUGUAAAAUAGUAUAUUUUUUAUUUACUAAAUAGAAUAUUUAAAGUAAUAAUUGCAUUUCUUUUGUAAUAUCAAAUUUCAUAUAAUUAAUUGUAAGUCGCGAAGAUGUGUAAUUUUAAAUGAUUAUUUACUACAAUUAUUGGAUUAAAUUUUAUUUAAUUAUUUAUAAAAUAAUACAUUUUAAAAAAAAUUACAUACCCCAUCUACAUGUAAAAUAAUAAUGUAUAACUAGGGGUAGAAAUCGGAUGGAAUUGAUCGGAAAUACCUUAUUCGGAAAUUCUCCAAUUUUUUUCGAAAGUUAAAAAUAGUUUUCAAUUUCGUUCCAAAAAAAUCAGAAUUUCAAAAUAAAUUCAAAUUUCGGAAUACAUCGGAAUCGGAGGAAUUUCGGAAUUUUCGGAAAUUGCAUUAAUGUUUAAUAUUUUGUUCCAAAAUCGGAAAUAAUGAUGAUUUUAAGAUUUUUUUUCCUAAUAUUUUCGUAAUUUUCCGGCAAAAUACAACAAUCCAAAACAAAAGUCAAUAUGAUGAAAAUAUAAACACUUGUAAAAACAACAUAAUCAAUUUAUCAAAGUAAACAUAGUUCUUGCAAAUAUAUGAAUAGAAAAAUAACUCAGAAAUACUAUAUAUAUAUAUAUAUAUAUAUAUAUAUAUAUAUAUAUAUAUAUAUAUAUAUAUAUAUAUAUAUAUAUAUAUAUAUAUAUAUAUAUAUACACACACACAGAGAGACCAGAAAUCUAAACCAUAUCAUACAUUAUAUAUUUCGGAAAUAAAAUCGGAUCGAAAAUCGAAAUUUUCAAUAAUUUUAUAUAUAAUUCCAAUUCCGUUCCAAAAAAAAAUCGGAAAUCAAAAUAUCGAAAAUCGGAAUGAAAAAAUGGGUUCCCAUUCAGAUAUUUACGGAUCGAAAUUGACGGAAUUCAGAAAUUUCAUUCCAAUUUCCACCCCUAUGUAUAACUCAGAAAAUACAUAGUAUAUGAUAAAUCUAUAAAGACUUACAAUAUAUGAUUGGGUUUUCUUUUAUUUUUUGUUGAAACUGACAAUAUCACAUUAAACCGUAUCAAUCGCUAUUCUUAAUAUGGUAAAAACUUUUGACGUACUUUUAUUAUAACUCGUUGCUCUAUGAACUUCCGUCCGAGUACUUUUAUUAUAGGGGUAAUAUGUUAGACACCCCUUAAAUCAAACUUAAUUAGAUAUUGGGGACAACCUCAAAUAGAAUAGUUUAACUAAAUCCUUAUUUUUAAAUAAAAUUUGAACCACAUCCUUUGAUUUUAAUUUAACCCGAAAAUACCCUUAAUAUAAUUAAUAAAAAAUCACAUGUAUCUUUUUCUCCUCACCCUAAUUUCUCCGCCGCCCACCCACCCCUUUUCUCUCAACCGUAACACACACUCUCUCAAAGACAGAAAAUAAAUAUUUUGAGAAAACUAGCAAACUUGUGAAAUUGCAAAAAUUAAAGAAGGAUUAAAGAUAAGAGAUCAGAGGAUCUAAAGAGCAGAAGUAUAGAAGUUGUGGUUGACCGGGGCGGCGAGUUGUGGUGGUCAAGGCGGCGGGCUGUGGUGGUCGAGAUCGCGGCGGGCUGUGGUGGUCAAGAUGGCGGCGAGCGAUUGUGGUGGUCGAGGCGACGGCGGGGGGCUGUGGUGGUUGAGGCGGCGGCAGCGGGCUGUGGUGGUCAAGGCGGUGGGCUGUGGUGGUCGAGAUGGCGGCGAGGGGUUGUGGUGGUUGUGGCGGCGGAGAUAUGGUUAUGGAGGAGAUCUGAUCUGGGUUUUCCAACUGUUGGUAGGUGACUACGAGAGCGACGGCUGCAGAUCUUGGCCGCUUGGGUUUGAAGGUUGCUGCGUUGACGGCUAGGGUUGUGUGUUGUUGGCUGCUAGGGUUUGAUUGUAUACCGUAGUAGACCAUAGAAUACCAUAGUAUACCGUACCAUAGUCUACUAUAGUAUUACAAUAAAUAAAAUAUUAAAUAAAUAAAUAAAUAUAUAUAUAUAUAUAUAUAUAUAUAUAUAUAUAUAUAUAUAUAUAUAUAUAUAUAUAUAUUGAAUUUACAAAAACGAAAAACAAGUUUAGUUUUGUAAUUUUUAAUAAUACUGUAGAAUUUUUUUUUUUUUUUUGAUAAUAGUGUAAAAAUGAUAGUACACCAUAAAACAACAUAGUACAUCAUAGUAUACUAUAGUAUUUUUAAAAUCUGCUGAAUUAUUUAACAAAAGGAAGAAGAAAAAAUCGUAAUUUUCAAAAAAAAUGUUAUAAAUAAGGAAAAAAAUUAUUUAUAAUAAUGUAAAAAAUGCAUACUGAAAAUUGAAAAAAUAAAAAUGAGUGAAAGAGCAUUUUUGGAAUGAAUUUAAUAAAGGAUGUGAAGCAAAUGUUUAGUUGAGCUUGUCAUUUAGUUCUAAUUAGUUUUGUCACUAGGGACCUAUAUCUUAAGACCCCUUUAUUAUAACUCGUUGCUCUAUGAACUUCCGUCCGAGUACUUUUAUUAUAACUCGUUGCUCUAUGAACUUCCGUCCGAGAAACAAGGUUAUAGUAUCAUUAACCUCAUUCUCUUCAUCGGUUCCAAUGAUACUCUCAAUUAUUUACUCGUCGGUCAACAUCUCUAAAUUGUACUUUUGUUAUAACUCGUUGCUCUAAGAACUUCCGUACGAGAAACAAGGUUAUAGUAUCAUUAACCUCAUUCUCUUCAUCAGUUCUGAAUUCCGAUGAUCCUCUCAAUCAUUUAUUCAUCAGUCAACAUCUCUAAAACUACAUUGUUUUCUUUAGAGCAGUUUAAGAAUACAACAUUCAUUUUGUCACAAUAAUUCAAUUCAUAUUUUUUUUAUUUUCCUAUUCUUGAAAAAUUUAACCGUCUAACAAUUCAUCCUUACAUUGUUUAAAAAUUUACUAAAAAUAACGAUAAUAAAAAUAAUUUCAUAAACUGAUUAUUUAAUAUUAUUAAGUAAUGUAUAAAUUAAUAAUUAUUAAUUUUUAGAUAAUUUAAUAUCUCAAUGAAAUAAUAGGAUUGCGCGAGUCCCAUUUUAAUAAUUUACAGAUGAUUAGCCGUAAUAAAUGAUUUAGAGAAUUCACCAAUAAAAAAAUAUAUAUCAUCUUGCAGAAUGAUGAAUGUUUUAGAACUUAAAAAUAUUAUAAUCAAUUCACUGGCAAAUUAAAAAAUAAUAUUUAAAAAAAUAGAUUCAUAAAGUCUUAGAUUGAUCCAAAAAUCCUACACAUAAGUUUCAUGUGUUGUUUUAUAGUUAUUUAUUUACUACUGUAUUUUAAUAAUCACUAAAAUGAUUAUAUUAGAUUUAAAGAUAAAUGAUGACUCUAAUUAUACUACUAAUAAGAUUACUAAUCAAAUUAAAUUAAAAUUCAAAUAUAUACUAGUCAUGUAUCAUUCUUGAAAAUCAACUGCAACAGAAUGAAGACAGCUGACAAAGUAAAGAAUGAGACUCCAUAUAGGGAAUAAUAACACUGUCUUGCAUUUAUUGGCAAGAGAGUCAUUACAUUUUAUUCCCAGUAGAAAUUUGAAACGAACAUAACCAAAGACACAGAAAGGAAAAAGAAAGAAAAUAUGACGAGAAAAUAGCAAGUAGGAUUAAAUUUUCAGACAAGACAUUGAUAUUGCAUGUUCCAGAAGUUCGACAGACUCUCAACUACAAUCAGACAUCAAAAUCCAUGUUUAAACUAAAAGUGGAUCACAUUGUAAAAAAAUAAAAAAAAUUCGAGAAACAUUCGAAUGGCAACUGAAACAAACGGUUGUACCAAGUAAAAAGUUACAGCCUCCUUCCCCUUCUACCACCCUUUCUUCUGGUGCUGUCAGUUGGAAUUGGAGUCACAUCCUCUGAAAGAUAAAUAAACCAGCAUAUUCGGUUAAAACUAUUAGAAUUUCGUUAUGUUCAAACAAAUACAAUAACUGCUACAUUAAAAAAAAAAAUCGAUAAAUGAUGUUUGUGAAUCGAAAAAAAAUGUCAAGUACCUAUCCGACCAAUCUUCAUGCCGGAACGAGCAAGGGCUCUAAGUGCAGACUGUGCACCAGGACCAGGGGUUUUAGUCUUGUUACCACCAGUAGCGCGGAGCUUAAUGUGAAGUGCGUUAAUACCCAACUCCUGUAUAUUUUUCCGUCUUAAGUAACCGAAUAGUGAUUAAAGUAAAGAAUUGAGUUUUAGAACGGAAUUAUAAAUAACCUUGCAUCUUGUAGAAACAUCUUGUGCUGCAAGCAUAGCGGCAUAUGGUGAUGAUUCAUCUCUAUCAGCUUUCACCUUCAUACCACCUAUAUUACGCAAGGUCAUAAAAAUUCAGAAAAAAAAGAAUAAUAGAAAACUAGUAAUUUUGGGCUUCAGACGAAAAGUAAUAAACUCAGAACUAAUAAUAAAAAUAUACAGGAAAAUAGAUGUGCCACGAGGACAGAAAUCAAGCAGUAAACGAAUUAAAAAACUUAUCAACAAAUUGACCCCAAAGUCGCAUACAAAAAGGUAAUAUUUAAGAAAAUUAAAAUAAUUAAAUUAUACCUGUGAUACGAACCAUGGUUUCCCUUCCUGAUAAAUCAGUCACAUGCUGCACGGAAAAUGGAAGAGUAAUUAAUAAAGUAUAUAAAUUUAGCGAAUAUAUUAACAUUUACUCUACAAAGGUGACAGUAAACAAAAACAUAUCGAACUGAAGUUCUCACAAUGAAGGUGUCGUUGAACGAGGCAAAGACGUGAGCCACGCAAAACACAAGUUCUCCAUCCCUAGUUGCAGGUCCGAGGGUGACAUUCUCUUCUUUAGGCUCCCUAACCUUUCUCCUCGACUACAACAACCAACGAAUCAUGUAAAUAAGAAUAAGAAUCCAAAGGGAAUACAAAGAUAGUGUCAAUUCAAUAUUGAACAAAUAUAUUUAUAGCUACAUUUUC
RNAcentral lists this long non-coding RNA (5753 nucleotides) under Erythranthe guttata (spotted monkey flower). Its description in RNAcentral is "long non-coding RNA (EGUT_LNC001304)". The record is from RNAcentral. Lineage: Eukaryota; Viridiplantae; Streptophyta; Magnoliopsida; Lamiales; Phrymaceae.